Molecule: ribosomal RNA, 645 nt
Filed under: Maladera verticalis
Lineage: Eukaryota; Metazoa; Arthropoda; Insecta; Coleoptera; Scarabaeidae
Also listed under: 3 other names
Description: eukaryotic LSU rRNA
Rfam family: Eukaryotic large subunit ribosomal RNA
Source: RNAcentral
GGACCAAGGAGUCUAGCAUGUGCGCGAGUCAUUGGGAUUUUUACUAAACCUAAAGGCGCAAUGAAAGUGAAGGUCCGCCUUGCGCGGACCGAGGGAGGAUGGACCGUUCCGAGGGACGGCCUCGCACUCCCGGGGCGUCUCGUUCUCAUCGCGAGAAGAGGCGCACCCAGAGCGUACACGCUGGGACCCGAAAGAUGGUGAACUAUGCCUGGUCAGGACGAAGUCAGGGGAAACCCUGAUGGAGGUCCGUAGCGAUUCUGACGUGCAAAUCGAUCGUCGGAACUGGGUAUAGGGGCGAAAGACUAAUCGAACCAUCUAGUAGCUGGUUCCCUCCGAAGUUUCCCUCAGGAUAGCUGGCGCUCGCUUCUCGCGAGUCUCAUUCGGUAAAGCGAAUGAUUAGAGGCAUUGGGGUCGAAACGGCCUCAACCUAUUCUCAAACUUUAAAUGGGUGAGAUCUCCGGCUUGCUUGAACUGUGAAGCCGCGAGAUAUCGGAUCAGAGUGCCAAGUGGGCCACUUUUGGUAAGCAGAACUGGCGCUGUGGGAUGAACCAAACGCAGAGUUAAAGCGCCUAAAUCGACGCUUAUGGGAUACCAUGAAAGGCGUUGGUAACUUAAGACAGCAGGACGGUGGCCAUGGAAGUCGGA